This is a non-coding RNA of Puma concolor (puma), 1603 nucleotides long. NCBI's taxonomy places the organism in Eukaryota, Metazoa, Chordata, Mammalia, Carnivora, Felidae. The record is from RefSeq and is a predicted model, not a curated record.
UGAGACCGCUGAGGCAUUCACUCCCAGUACUUCUAAGAUGGGAUCUUAAAGAGCGGACUGAAAAAAGUGUUUUGUGGUGGCCACAUGGCCUUGAACUCUGGAUUAAAAAAGAAAGUAAAGGGAAUUUGGGAUCUGAGGAUGAGCCCAGGAUCGGAGCAUCCACAGAAGGUCUUUGUUCAGGUGAUCCUUUUCUAGAAAUGGGAUGUCCAACUGACCAGCACAGACCCGGGUUCUCUCUCCGAUCCUGUCUGCAAGAAUAUCCACAGCUCUAACGUGUUGGUGGGUGUCUUGGAAAGGAGGUUGUACAAAGACCCAGAGAGUAGAGGCUCUGAUUUGUGGUGUUCUCAAGGGCAAGCCUGCACCUUGACAGCUUCCAGGUGUUGAGAAUCAAGUUCUUCGGAAUCACCAUCUCUUGUCCUUUUCAACUAUGCAAGCCACAAUCCUGCCAUCUGGCCUUGGGGAAGAAUCGAAAGAGAACUCUGCAUGAAGACCCAAGGCAGACUACGACUCACAUUUAUAUUAAAUGAGACUACACCUGUUGUUCUGGACUGCAGCUGGAAUUGGAAAGGAAAUCUAUUUCCAUGAAUGGAGAAGUGUCAGAGUGAGCAGGCACGUGGCAGCGGAAGCAUGGGAAUAGUCUCACGAGACUAAUGUCAAAGCACAAUGAUUGUCAGAGACUUUAGAAGAUAAACCAACCAAACAAACAUAUAGAAGUUACAUGUGCUGUUAGUGCAGAAGCUUCCAGAUGGAUGCAAGAAUCAAAGCCUUCAAGAACCUCAUGUAAUUGGCACUUGGAAUAUAUCUAUAUUAAUUUGCAUGGACCAUAAAAGCAAUCUUAUCUAGAAUCUUCCAUUUACAGCCCUUGUUAUUUUCUCCCUUCAUUUUCACCUCUUCUCUUCUGCCUGGCUUCCUAACUCCUGGGUAUCUGUCUCUGGUACAUCUGUAGCUUCUCAGCUAGGAUGUUUAUGGGGUGUCAGAUGCCUACAUAUCAAGAACUCUUCCUGUCUCUGGGAAUUAGAUGUUAAGAGACAGAAAACAGGGCACAAGACCACGUACACCUUAGCUCUGAGUUAGAUCAUCUGAAAGCUAUGUUCCUGGACCUCGUUAUCUUGGCUUCCCACAGAAAAGCAUCCAACAAAUUAAGAUUUAAUAUCAUGUCUCCAACUUUUAUGGAGGGCAGCGGACACAGAAAUGUACUUGUGAAGAACAAAGCUGGGUAUUUUACAAAAGCAUAGUGGCGGAUUUUAUCAUGUCACCCAAAGUCCUUUUUAUGAGAAUCUGUAAGACUUUUGAUUCUCUAAGUGAACAUUAUAUUGACAGCGACAAGUAUAUCCCAUAUAAUUACAGGGGACUCAGGACUGAAUUUGGCUUCCAAUGGCAGCAUCUGUCAUAUCCUGGUGACUGGUGGCAUCCAUUUAUUUGUUCCUUUCAACCGAUUUUGAUUCCGUUUUUAUUAUUUAUUUUUCUGAUGUAUAUUGUGGUUAAUUUUCUAAGUUGCCUCCGAUGUUUACAGAUAUGUGUGCACGUGUUUUUGCCUACUUAUCUACCAUCUCCCUACCUACCUACAUACCUAUCUGUUUACUUACAUACCUACCUGUCAUCC